ACAAGCAGUGGGAGCACCCUUUGGGUGUGACUGCGUACCUUUUGUAUAAUGGGUCAGCGACUUAUAUUCUGUAGCAAGGUUAACCGAAUAGGGGAGCCGGAGGGAAACCGAGUCUUAACCGGGCGUUAAGUUGCAGGGUAUAGACCCGAAACCCGGUGAUCUAGCCAUGGGCAGGUUGAAGGUUGGGUAACACUAACUGGAGGACCGAACCGACUAAUGUUGAAAAAUUAGCGGAUGACCUGUGGCUGGGGGUGAAAGGCCAAUCAAACCGGGAGAUAGCUGGUUCUCCCCGAAAGCUAUUUAGGUAGCGCCUCGUGAAUUCAUCUCCGGGGGUAGAGCACUGUUUCGGCUAGGGGGCCAUCCCGGCUUACCAACCCGAUGCAAACUGCGAAUACCGGAGAAUGUUAUCACGGGAGACACACGGCGGGUGCUAACGUCCGUCGUGAAGAGGGAAACAACCCAGACCGCCAGCUAAGGUCCCAAAGUCAUGGUUAAGUGGGAAACGAUGUGGGAAGGCCCAGACAGCCAGGAUGUUGGCUUAGAAGCAGCCAUCAUUUAAAGAAAGCGUAAUAGCUCACUGGUCGAGUCGGCCUGCGCGGAAGAUGUAACGGGGCUAAACCAUG
This 623-nucleotide ribosomal RNA is filed under the name Salmonella enterica. RNAcentral describes it as "partial 23S ribosomal RNA". It matches the Rfam family "Bacterial large subunit ribosomal RNA", at positions 566 to 1191 of the family's 2925-position model. The record is from RNAcentral. Lineage: Bacteria; Pseudomonadati; Pseudomonadota; Gammaproteobacteria; Enterobacterales; Enterobacteriaceae. RNAcentral also lists the same sequence under 1 other name.